AUUGAAUGCUGGCGGCAGGCCUAACACAUGCAAGUCGAGCGAGCGGCGGACGGGUGAGUAAUGCCUGGGAAUUGCCCAGUCGAGGGGGAUAACAGUUGGAAACGACUGCUAAUACCGCAUACCAUUUGAUUGCCCAGGUGGGAUUAGCUAGUUGGUGAGGGAAUGGCUAACCAGGGCCACGAUCCCCACCUGGUCUGAGAGGAUGAUCAGCGAAACGGGAACUGAGACACGGUCCAGAAGCCUACGGGAGGCAGGAGUGGGAAAUAUUGCACAAUGGGGGAAACCCUGAUGCAGCCAUGCCGCGUGGGUGAAGAAGGCCUUCGGGUUGUAAAGCACUUUAAGCGAGGAGGCGUUACUCGCAGAAGAGGCACCGGCUAACUCCGUGCCAGCAGCCGCGGUAAUUC
This 404-nucleotide ribosomal RNA is filed under the name uncultured bacterium. RNAcentral's name for it is "partial 16S ribosomal RNA". It matches the Rfam family "Bacterial small subunit ribosomal RNA", at positions 30 to 526 of the family's 1533-position model. The record is from RNAcentral.